CGAGCUUGAGUUCAACCCGACUCAGAUAACGAAAAUAGCACUAAUGAGACUGCAUAGGGUAGUUGUGGUAUAAAUUCGAGCUUGAGUUUAACUAGACUCAGAUAAUGAAAAUAGCACUAACUAGACUGCAUAGUGUAGUUCAAAGAUCAUCAUCAUUCCAUUGUAAGAUACGAGAAAGAUAAAGGAAAUACAAUUCUGGAAAUGUUUUAUACUCAUACAGAAAAGCAGAGAUAAACAUGAACAAGGACUCAGAAUCGCUACUUAAAGCUAAAGUUCAAAAGAGCCGAGCAGCCUCCGACAAGAGGGCAUCCACCAAGUGAACAAACUCUUAGGAAAAGGAACUCGAGAUCUUCCGGGAUAACUAGCCAGAGCUCCUCUACUUGGAUCUCUGUCUCAUUUUUCGGCGCUUCCUUUUAAGCCUCCUCAUUCUCUUCUUCUUCCACUGCACACACAAACAAGCAGAAUUCAGUUUUCAUGCCCAGAAAAACAGAAUCGAAAUUCACAAGUGGACAGAAUCAAGAGAGGUGAAAUCGACUUGGAACUGUUAAACAUUGUCACAAAAAGCAUAGUCCCAGCCAGACCCAACUCAGUAAUGAUUUGAAUUGAGCAAAAUUCAAUAAACCACAACUUUUGCAAUGCAAAGCUCUCAAAACCUCUUAAAACCCAAGUGAAAAGUGAUCAAAUUGGCCAAAAACUCAAAUCAAUUUGUGACCCAACGAGUCUACAACCCAACCUAUUGACUUUGACAGCAAUAAUCGAGCUAAUAAUCACUCAAACCAAAUACUGAGCUAGAAGAGACCAAGCAUUUUCAGAAAACGAAGGUUUCAGCUUUCAUGACAGGAAAUCAAAGGCAGAAUCUAAAAUCACAAGCUCUAAAGAAUUUAAGAAACCUGUAAAUCAGCUGAUAAUCAUACAAAUCAAGUGAUGAGCUAGCAGUAGCAUGAACAACUUAUUCAUCUGAUAAUCACGGUGCAUCGACAGUAAAAACCCAGAAAAGAGACGACCCAAAGGAUUGAUAGAUCGUUUCAAUUCGUCACGGAUAAAAAAGCACAAUCUCAGGCUACUCAUCGAGACAAAGAAUCUACACUUAACAUUUCGACUACCAGAGUACGAUACCUCCACAUUUACAGCAAAUCAAGCUACGAACUCACGAAUAGAAAGAAUGCAUCAUGAUUUCAAGUCAUAGCAAUCAUGGACAACGAACAUAGGCGAUUCAAACACAGACAGAUAAAAACAGAGAAAUCCACACCAUUACAGAAGAUUAUACACAGAUUUCAGAACUAGAUCGAUGAAUAUAAACUGUAUACCCACCUUAGCCCUCAUCUUGCUUCAAACUCGGUGAAAAUCCCAACUUCUCUCUCGACUGCGAUUGAAGGCGACGGGGAAAAAAAAUAUGGCAGCCGAUGGUGAAACUCCCAACUUCACUCUAGUGUUUAUAUAGUCCUUCAGGUAAACCCUAAUCCGUAUCCUUACAGUAUUCGAAUCAAGGGACAUUACCGUCUUUUUCAGUACCUACGUCCAGUAAUGUUUCUACGGCGUCGUAUCGAGCAUGGGCUGUGACGAAUCCAUGUCUAUAAUGGUUCAACAUUAGGCUUACUAGCCGAGUUGAACUCCACCCGAUUCAAACUCGAUUAGUUUAUUUUUCACAAAAAAACUUUAUGACUCAAUAUCGCACUAACAUAAACUAAACACGAUAGGAAAAGAAAGUUGAAUGAUGCUACAGGGAAGGAGAUGCCAACCAUAUCCAAGUUACUAAUCGAACUUCACAGACCUCAAAUACGGCCUUUAAUGAGCUAGAGUUGUAACUCAAGUUAGAAGAUUGAAAUUUUAUUAAGCUAAUUCGAAUCUCUCUUAUUAAUUAUCCUUCAUGAGUUAUUUGUGCUCAACUCAAACUCCGCUUAUAAAAAUUCUUAACGAGUUCAAUUUGAACUCAACUUCAAACUUGUAGACUAAAAAUAUCGAUGAGCUUAACUAAUAAACUACCUAUAUACAUGUUUUUAUUAGCACAAUCACAAGUAUAUGAUUUAUAAUCUAUCAUAUCUAAUACGAAACACUCAUUACAUUAUUAAACUUACAAGUGAUAUAGUCGUAUUAGCAAUUUAGUAUUAUAGUUGGCUUUCGAGUUAGAGCUCAAAUCAGCCUUUAAAUGUAUAGAGUCGAACAUAUUAUGAGUAAUGAAACAAAGUUUUCAAACCGAACAAGUGGCUUGACCGGUGAACCGUCCGACUCUUUAGUUUGUUUUGGACCCAUAAGUUCGUCACUCAAAACGACGAUUACCGUCUUUACAAUCUACUGUGAGCUGCCCUUCAAAGCACAUGUCAGAAAUGGAGAAUCCUCCGGCCAUCGCCGAUUCCAACGAGGAAAGCAACGGCGUCGCCACAACGGAAGCGACGAAUUCAACUCCGAUACCAGAAAGCCCCGACGUCGAGCUCGAGAAGAGCAGCAGUACAAGUAGUACCGACACACUUUCCAAGGCGCUAUCGACGAUCCUCUCGAAUGUGAUACGGGACUUCGAUUCCGAAGCUCAGAACACGCUCAAAAGCCAAGAUCAGCUGAACUCCGCCCUCGAUCGCCUCACCGGAGGUAAAAGUUAUCCAGUAAUCCCUCUCGAAUUUGAUUGGCAAAAUCUCAUUUCCACUCCGAGCUAGUUGUGAGCAAAACUUUUGUGUUUGGAAUUUAAAAAUUUCCGUUUUCCAGAGCUUGACGGACUGUUGGCAGAUGCGCCGCUUCCGUUCAUAAUGCAGCACGCCGCGAAGAUAACCGCCGUUAGGAAGAGAGUCUCGUCGUUGAACUCCGUGCUGAAAUCGAUACAGCGGCGCAUUGAUAACAUGGACCGUGUGAUUUCCGUUGGCACGGCGCAACAAGGUAAAAUAAAAUCAAUCGAAUUGUUUUGUUUCACCUUUGCUUACUUCAAUUUCUUUGAGCCAUGUUUAUGAAGCGAAACCAUAGUGAACUGAAACUCUGCAUCAGUCUUUCAAUUGAGUGAUAUGUUAUUGCCUGCCCACUGAUUUGGCUUCUCACUUUGCAGAGAAGGCCAAGUCGGGGACUCCCUGAGAUCGUCAGUGUCCGUCUUUGAUUUGAAAGGUACCUUGCCUUAGUGCUUCAUAGAUUAUCUACGAGUUCUUUAGGUAGCAUGCGUUGUGCUUGGCAUCGAAUCUUUGUCAAUGCUGCUCCUCUCGAAUCGUUCUUCGAGUUGUCAUCUGUGUUCUUAUUAUCCUUCACGAUCAUGAACCGUUAACAUGAUACAAUCUAGAUUCUAGUCUCUAAAACACUUUCCUCCAUCUUUUACGUGAAGUUUUAAUCAGCACUUCCCUCUAUUGAAAUGUGAGUUUACAGAAAGGUGUUACUGUCUUACUGACAGAGGAUUGCUGCUAUAUUCUGAUCUCAAGAUCACUUUUUUCCCUGAAGAGCUUGAUAUAAGGAACACUCUUUGGGUGCAAUCACCUUGUUUGAUUAAAAUUCAUCGUUGCAUUAGGGUGUUACUACAAAGGUGGAAUCUUUUUGCAUCAAAAUCAGGCAUUAAGGUUCAUCUUUUGUUACAGGAACGGAAAGAACCAUCUGACAGUGUAUAUAUUCAACAUGCUGGGAUCACCAAUCUCGGAAGAGACGGGAAGAUCCAGGUUGGCUCAGCUCAGUUCUGGAUGAGAAUGCCUUGCUCGGUCGGAACCAUUCCGUCCUGAUGCUCGAGGCAGUGGGAAGUGAAUCAUCAUGACGUUGCAGAUAUUGAAUCUAAUCAUGUUAGAUGUUUCUGUAGCACAGGGUUUCUGGUAGGAUAAUCGUAAGUGUAUUUGUUGAUCCGCCCUUGAGAUACAAUCAUUCAAUCUCGCAUUUGAGCCACAGCUAUAAAAAUCGUGUACUGAAUUUCACCGUCCUUAAGACAAUCCAACAUCAUUAGUGUUACUCUGGUCCUGAAGCACAGACCAAAGCAAAAUGGCCUUACGUGAAGCAUUCGGCCGUUCAUUCUGAUCUAAAAAAUCCUCAACCGUCUGCGAGGCCAAUCCGGUCCGUUUUGCGAAAAACCAUUCGGUUUCAUGACACUGAACCAUUAAAUACCUUAUCAAUCGUUCCAACUGUUCAAGUCGAUUUUUCACAGUUCAUUGAUUCAACUCAUUACAUGAUUCGUUCAUUCCUCGUAUGACCUGUUAGCAUGAACUAUGAGAUGCACAAGUUCGCAAUGAUGUCAAAUUACUAUGUUUGUUGUUAUAUUAUUAAAGAUUCGAUCUUUCUCACUUGGGUUUAAAAUGAGUUCUUAAAGAUUCGAUCUUUGUCAAACUCUCGCUCACCCGGUUCAACCGAGGUUCAAAAAUAUUGGUAAAAUGAGACGUAGGCAGCAAGAUGUGACUGCAUUUCACAAGCCCACCAGGCUUAAAAUCCAAUAGUCGUUGUUGGAUCCUAACCAGAGAGAAGAAGAAGAAUAAGAUCCCAACGAAAUGGAUAAGGAGAGCGAUCCCCCCAAAACCCCUAAAGCUCCACUCUCUGCCUCUUUAAAUUCUUCUCCAUCUCUGCAACUGUUCGACAAUUUCAAUCCUUCAGCUCUCUAAUUUCUCUGCAUCUGUUCUUUCACUUUUUUUCCUUCUUUUUUCUCUGUUUUGGAUUUCCAUUGAUGGUGUGAGGGGGGAGGAGGAAGGAUAUGAUGAUGUGUAACAAUGAACAAUCCAAUUCUGGAAUUCAUUAUGAUGACCUCUAUAUACACCUGAUCUCUCCAUUGUCUCUCCCCCUCAACCAUUGAUCUUUUCUCAGUUUUCAGAAGAAGAAAAAAGUCUGGAUCUUUCUACAUGAACUUUUGGUUUUCACUAACCAUUUUGUUUCAACUGCAUUUUCGUCAAUUCUGGAUCGUUGUGGGUUUUUCUCUGUGUGUGAUCUUUAAUGCUGGUUGAUCCAUCUGAUCUCCACUGAGCUUCUGGUGAAUUGUGUGAUUAGUAUGUCGGAAUGUUGGAAUUGACAGUGUUGGAAUCCUUGUUUGAUGAUAGAUUCAUAGUUGAAACUGUUGGACAAUCCAUACUGGUAAGGUCUAAAAAACACUAAUUUGUUGAGCUAAUCAAGUGUCCGAAUGAUGGAAUUUUACGGGUUCAUGAAUAUGCCUCGGCUAGAACAUGUCAUCUUCAAACAGUUGGGUACAAAUCCUGAAUGAAGAAGGUAUUCAUUCAGCCUCAUUACCCAGUCAAACGUUACAUGCUACCAAAGAUCUAGCUCAAGUUAUUUUGGCUAGAUCCGCAACAGAUUGAUCAAACCUUUGGACCAAACCAAUACCAUACAUUGUAGGACUUAAAAUAAUGCAUCAUUUUCUGGGCAGGAAUCGGAACCGGAAUUGGGGAGGAAUGACCUAAUUCCAUACUAGAGUCCAAUUCUGCUACAUUUUCCAAACGUAAGAAUAACAGGGUUUAAUUCAACUGAUUAUGGCUCCCCAAUUCCGACUUGAAUAUAAGUUCCAAUGGGAUUGGCGAUUUCGGCCUGGUGAACCAAAAACUGCGGAAAACGACACCGAAGUUAGAACUUUUUACUAAUGCUAGACAUCCAAGCUAGACCCUUUUACUAAUGUCCUGGGCGUCCAAGUUAGAACAUUUUACUCGUUCAGAUUGCUUCGUUCUAUCCUUUCAAUCGAUCGAGCCUGAUGCAAUACCCCCCACUUUAGCCUAAUGCACCAACCGACCAUCCUUACUAACACCCGCGACUCCGACAGCCUUACCAACCAGGCUAGAAGCUUUCCCCAAUAAACCUAUCAAAUAGAACUCAAUCGAUAGCUUUACCGGCUGAGCUAGAUGCCUGACGUAACGGCCUAUCACUUACCUUUCACCAAAUUAGAGAUUGGUGACUUUGAACUACAUACAAGAACCUCAGGCAUUUAGUUGUGUGUUCAUUUGAAAGUAGUUGAAAGGGAGGAGCUACUUACUUUGUAUGAAUUGAAAGCGAUAAUGUGAAUGGGUAGGGGCCAUGAUCAGAGGCAGAGACGCACAGAGAGACAGAAGCAUAGCAGAGAUCAUAGAGUGAAAAAUUAGAAAUUAAUGGUUCAUACAGCAAAGCAUAGGGCCUCCAGUUUGCAAGGAAACAGAGCAUAGUGGGAAAAAAUCAGAUUUAGGGAAGUGGACAAAAGUUUUACUUGUUUUGGCAAAGGGUUGGUCACGUGAGAAAUAGAGCAGAAAAUAUGUAAGCAUAACUAUGAACAUGACUUCCGGGUGGGGUGCGGCGGGUAGCUGGCGGUUGUCGGGAGGCAGUAAGAAGUAUAAUCUCGGUGCGCACUGGUGGUGGAUUUUGUAUCUGGAGUAGGAUCGAAGCAUAAUAAAGAACGGGACUUGAGGUAGUAAAAACUCGGUGGGCAGAAAUUCAAAACUAUUCAAUGCACUAUAUAGGGGGUGUGACCAAAUUGAAAGGCAUUGGGUUUGAGAUAGAAUUAUAGGUGCAUUCAAAAUGGUUGUAUAGAAUCCUAAAAUGCACUAAAUCACGUUUAAAAAUUAUAUAAUCAACUGUUAAUAAUGAAAGAAAAUACGUAUUAAAACAGUUUUUGCAAUUGAUGUUGAUUUUGAUCGUGACUCGAUAGAGUAUCCUUCAAAAUCCGCCACUCCGGUCAACAUAAUUAUACUCUUAAUUGAAGGCUAGACAUCGGGAAGUGAGUAUAUUCACGAUCUUCUUCCUAGUUCAAUCGGUAUGGCUAUCCAUUUCACUCAGUUGGGUUGCCACCCAAGAUUGGUCGGGUUUAGGGCAUUGCCAAAGCUUUGCAAAUCCCGCCUCGCCAAUCGUUUUAUGCCUACUAUUUGUAAUGAUCACGCUGUUGUGGACCAAAUUCAAAAGACGAAAUGAAGCGAAAAAAGGCCAAUGAAGUUGUUAGGUUGGUUCGAGAUGGCAUCUACCCACUAAUUGGGUUGAGUACAUAGUUUUCCAAAACAGAUUAUCGUUUUGAUAAAGCCAACAACUUUGAACCCUAGGAGGAAGGGCCAACUAAAGUGGAUUUUGGGUCAAAACCUAAACCUUUUGGGAAUUUUAAACCUUUUCAGGAUUUGCAUAAAUCAAGGUUCAAACCCAUAGGUUUAUGUACUUAUGUUUUGAUUAAUAGUGUAAAGCUAUUCAUCAAACAAAUAAUUUAAAGUGUAAAGCUUUUGGGAGGCACAUGGGUUAGUUAAAAAGAGGCAAUUGGUAUAAAGAAAUUAGUUGAAAAAUAUUACUUUUUGGUCCAUUCACUAUUCCACUU
This 7183-nucleotide long non-coding RNA is filed under the name Linum usitatissimum (flax). RNAcentral describes it as "long non-coding RNA (LUSI_LNC008286)". The record is from RNAcentral. Lineage: Eukaryota; Viridiplantae; Streptophyta; Magnoliopsida; Malpighiales; Linaceae.